GCCUUUGUGGCGUAGUGGUAGCGCGUCGCACUUGUACAAUGGUUCGGCUUGUCAUGCGAAGGUCACUAGUUCAAUCCUGGUCGGAGGCA
Armillaria nabsnona is the source of this 89-nucleotide non-coding RNA. Lineage: Eukaryota; Fungi; Basidiomycota; Agaricomycetes; Agaricales; Physalacriaceae. The record is from the annotation of a GenBank genome assembly.